UAAAUCAGUCAUACCAGUUGUUGCGCUGUUAGUGUGCUUCCUCAAUAUCAAGUUCGGAACAAUCCUGCAAAGCCCAGUUGACAAUACCUAAACCAGCAUAGAACACAAUAGGGGUAAUUAAAAAUUGCAAUCCUAUUUUGCCAAACAAUCGGGUGCUACAAAAGUUGUAGUUUAAACUACCGCCCGGACAACCAACGCCAACAGCACGGUAGAGAGCAUCGUCAACUUAGGGUGUCGCAUCACCAUGAGAGCCGCAAUGAUCAGUAUCUGGUCACCAAACUUUACCUUGCAAGGGAUGAACAUGCAUUAAUCAUUAGAGGCACAUAAACAGUAUAUGCAUGCACAUGUAGGAGAGCAAAUUCACAAAAUAUAAUCUCCGGGUUUCACCUAAAUUACCUUAAAUUAUCGAGUCAGUACACACCUAGGUAGAAUUAUAUUGUACAUCAAAUCGCCCCAAAUCCUCGACCAGCUCCCCAAAUCAAAUUUGAAACAUAGCACAGAGCACCGUCAGAUGCGGGUGGACCAGUAUCAUGUGCUCGAGGAUGCGAGCUUCUAGGCCUGCUUGACGUGAUUGCAGACGAUAGGAGGGAGACGGCCUGCUAUUGCAACUUCUCCUCGUUGCGACCGAUGACGGGGUUGAACUUCUCAUCGUCUUUGUGUAGAUUAAGAGGUCCAAGGCAUCGGAAGUGGCGUCCUACAGAAGCAUGGCAGGGAAGUGGGUGAGCGUGAUUGAGUCUAGGGCCAACUCGACCCCGUGGCGGGCUGCUGGAGGCCGCUUUGUGGUGGCGCGCACGCCCACCGGUCAUGGUGGUGAAAACGGCACUAUCCUGAGUGCCCAUGUCGGAUUCCACGACUCGGCUUACAUCCCCAUCGGCAUGUUUGCUAUCCUCCGUCUUCCCCCUCCUAGUCCCUAGAUCUGUCGCGCA
RNAcentral lists this long non-coding RNA (926 nucleotides) under Triticum aestivum (bread wheat). Its description in RNAcentral is "long non-coding RNA (TAES_LNC003043)". Lineage: Eukaryota; Viridiplantae; Streptophyta; Magnoliopsida; Poales; Poaceae. The record is from RNAcentral.